This 494-nucleotide ribosomal RNA is filed under the name uncultured bacterium. RNAcentral's name for it is "bacterial SSU rRNA". It matches the Rfam family "Bacterial small subunit ribosomal RNA", at positions 29 to 512 of the family's 1533-position model. The record is from RNAcentral.
AGUGAACGCUGGCGGCAGGCCUAAUACAUGCAAGUCGAACGGCAGCACAGCAGAGCUUGCUCUGUGGGUGGCGAGUGGCGGACGGGUGAGGAAUACAUGGGAAUCUGCCCAGUCGUGGGGGAUAACGUAUGGAAACGUACGCUAAUACCGCAUGCGCCCUACGGGGGAAAGCCGGGGACCGAAAGGCCUGGCGCGAUUGGAUGAGCCCAUGUUCGAUUAGCUAGUUGGCGGGGUAAAGGCCCACCAAGGCGACGAUCGAUAGCUGGUCUGAGAGGAUGAUCAGCCACACUGGAACUGAGACACGGUCCAGACUCCUACGGGAGGCAGCAGUAGGGAAUAUUGGACAAUGGGGGCAACCCUGAUCCAGCCAUGCCGCGUGAGUGAAGAAGGCCCUCGGGUUGUAAAGCUCUUUUGUCCGGAAAGAAAGCAUUCGGUUAAUACCCGGGUGUUCUGACGGUACCGGAAGAAUAAGCACCGGCUAACUUCGUGCCAGC